UACAGAGGUCUCAAGCGUUAAUCGGAAUUACUGGGCUUAAAGGGUCCGCAGGCGGUCUGACAAGUACCUUGUGAAAUAUCAGGUCUCAACCCUGAAACUGCUCGGUAGACUGUCAGACUUGAGUGCAAAAGGGGUCGCUGGAACUCUAAGGUGGAGCGGUGAAAUGCGUAGAUAUCUAGAGGAACGCCAAAGGUGAAGACAGGCGACUGGUUUGCAACUGACGCUCGAUGACGAAAGCGUGGGGAUCAAACGGG
RNAcentral lists this ribosomal RNA (254 nucleotides) under uncultured bacterium. Its description in RNAcentral is "partial 16S ribosomal RNA". It matches the Rfam family "Bacterial small subunit ribosomal RNA", at positions 524 to 776 of the family's 1533-position model. The record is from RNAcentral.